UGGGGAAUCUUCCGCAAUGGACGAAAGUCUGACGGAGCAACGCCGCGUGAGUGAAGACGGCCUUCGGGUUGUAAAGCUCUGUGAUCCGGGACGAAAGAGCCUGAGGUAAAUAGCCUAAGGAAGUGACGGUACCGGAAAAGCAAGCCACGGCUAACUACGUGCCAGCAGCCGCGGUAAUACGUAGGUGGCAAGCGUUGUCCGGAAUUAUUGGGCGUAAAGCGCGCGCAGGCGGCUUCCUAAGUCCAUCUUAAAAGUGCGGGGCUUAACCCCGUGAUGGGAUGGAAACUGGGAAGCUGGAGUGUCGGAGAGGAAAGUGGAAUUCCUAGUGUAGCGGUGAAAUGCGUAGAGAUUAGGAAGAACACCGGUGGCGAAGGCGACUUACUGGACGAAAACUGACGCUGAGGCGCGAAAGCGUGGGGAGCAAACAGG
RNAcentral lists this ribosomal RNA (429 nucleotides) under Fusobacteriota bacterium. RNAcentral describes it as "Fusobacteria bacterium partial 16S ribosomal RNA". It matches the Rfam family "Bacterial small subunit ribosomal RNA", at positions 355 to 776 of the family's 1533-position model. The record is from RNAcentral. Lineage: Bacteria; Fusobacteriati; Fusobacteriota.